GAGUUUUGCAUAGAAAACGUCGACCUAUAAAUACUCCCUUCCCUCCUCUGUUGCCUAAGGCAAGCAUUCCCCUGCUUCCACCAAAAUGUUAUUCAUCAACUAAGCCUUUUGUGUCCCAUUUUGGGAAGAGGAAUGAAACGUAACUUCUCAGCCACAAUGACUAUCCCUACACCACCGGACCAAUAGAACAAGGUGGUUGAAUAUAGAUUAACUCCAGCAGACUAAGAGCUGUUAAUCAUAUUUCGAAGAGAAAAUAUAUUUAAUUGUGAUGAUGAUGCCUCGCUAAUCACGGAGAUCAAAGCUUGUUCCUUUGAACCGUGGGAUCUACCUAAUGUAGACCAUACAGGUUUAGAGGAUCAAGUGUGAUAUUUCUUUUACUACCGUGAUUAUAAAGUAUUCGGGUGAUGGACAUUCAAAUCCAGCAAUGAGGAUAGAAUAUUGGAAAUCCACUAGAAGUUCUGUGAAGUGGAAGAUAACACCAAAGAAGAGAUUGGUACAAAAAAAAUAUAAUUUUUUCUAAAAGAUUAUGGUGGAUGGUUUUAAUUUUGAAAUUUGUAAUCACAACCAGAUGGCAACGAAUUCAUAUAUGGUUUGUGAUCUUGGAAAUUAUGUAAUUUCCAACCAGCUUGACUAAAAUGUCAACCUGCGAACAAGUUGAGCGGAGUGGCAUCGUAGCUUUUGAUUAUGAAAAUCAAAAUCUAAAAGAGAUGGCCAUUCAUUCAGCUAAUUAUAAAGGACUUCACAAGUUGGAUCCUAAUCAAGAGGAUCAAAAUCCAAAUGAGAUGGCUAACUGCUAUGUCAACCUAUGCAAAUGGAGAUAAAAAUGCAGCGGAUGCAACGCCUUAAAGGUGUGAAAUUGCAUCUUUGCAGGCCAUUCUAUACCAGCCUGUACCUCUGUCCUUCAAUUCCUAUUAGCUAUUAGCUGUUCAAAUUUGUACCUUAUAAUAUUAGUAUUAAUAAGCAAUGUUUGCAUUUGAUAUUGUAUGAAGGUCCAAUGUAUUGCUGAAGGAAGCUUUGUUUAAAAUGUACCAAUUGUCGCCCCUUAUCUUUGAGUUUUGACUGUAAAAUGUGUAUUAAAGAAUGCAUUUCUGACUGAGGAAAGCCUCUCCUACACCAGCUUUGCUACCUUUCUGCCUAGCAAAACAAGUUCUGAGAUGGGAUCUACAUGAGAAUGUUCCUCUGCCCUAUUUUGUAUUCUAUAACAAGUAUAUAAACUGAAAACUCAACAUAGUUUAUACUGUUCCACAUGUUUAA
Molecule: long non-coding RNA, 1254 nt
Organism: Manihot esculenta (cassava)
Lineage: Eukaryota; Viridiplantae; Streptophyta; Magnoliopsida; Malpighiales; Euphorbiaceae
Exons: 3
Source: RefSeq, a predicted model, not a curated record